AGUUCCGGCUCCUUCCGGGUCGUAGCCGAGCCUGGAGGGCGGUUGCCGUAGAAACCGCGGCUAUGGCGGCACAGGGUCCGGCGAGUGGUCGCACCGCCCAGCGCGAGGAGCCCGCCGGCUCCACAGAGUCGUCGGACACUGUGCGGACGUCAGUGCCCAUCGUGUCCACCGUGUCCCCCGAGCCACCCUUUUCGCCAGGACAGGGCGUGGAGCCUCCGGGCAAGAACCUGUGGGAGCAGAUCUGCGAGGAGUAUGAAGCUGAGCUGCCUCCCUUUCCAGAGGGAUGUAAAGUCAAACAAGAAGCUAUGAUUUCUGUUUCACCAUUAGAGGAAACGGUUCUCCAUGGCUUCAAUACAGAGCACGUUUAUUCAGCUCCUCAUUUGACCAUGGACUCGCAUGUACUCUGUCCUCAAGUCAAGUUGGAAACAGUUGAUCCAAAAACCUGUUCCCCCAAGGAAUAUCUGGAAACAUUCAUCUUUCCAGUUCUGCUUCCUGGAAUGGCUAGCCUGCUUCACCAAGCAAAGAAAGAAAAAUGUUUUGAGAGAAAAAGAACCAAAUUCAUUGCCUGUGAUUUUCUGACUGAGUGGUUAUACAAUCAAAAUCCAAAGAGGAUGGGGGUGGCUUUCACAGAAUUCUUCUCCAUUCCCUUUGUGGACCAGUGGCUGAAGCAUCACCCCCGGCCGCCGGUCCCACUGUCCCUCCUGCUGACAGAGGAAGAGGCAGCGCUGUGCAUUCAAUCCUUCUGGAGAGCCUAUCUGCUGUCUGGAUAUUGUGAAUGAAGUCUGUCCUCUGAGCACUCUCCCUUCUGAAGUGUGGCUGGUGAUAAGCUGCAUUACCACAUCAAUGGUGCUCUUCUGCUGCUGAAACACAGGCUGUUCAGCCUGGACUCCAGCAUGGCGUAUAAUCUUCCCCGCUCCCAGGACCAACGUCCCCUCCAGGCACUGUGACGGCUGACAAUCACAAAGCCCAUCAAUCAUCGCUGCUUUUGUUCGUUUGGUGAACAAUACAGUGCAAGGUUGCUCCAGCAGCCCCUUUGUGGCUUUGCAAAAAAAAACAAAAAAACAAAACAAACAAAAAAAACCCCCAAAACUGGCCAUCCCGAUUUCCACCUGCUGAGAACAAUGAGAAUCUGUGUCUUUAUACCUUUGUCUGUCACAAGCUGGGGUGGAUGAGGCACCCCCCGAGGAGAAACAGCUAGCUGUGAACAAAGAGUACAGGUUUAGAAUGGGACAGUCCCCGUCCAUCCCCAGACCCUAGAAUAUUGCCUCCCUCUGGCUACAGGGAUUGAUUCAUGAUGGGCAGGGGACUUAAAUCCGUCAUACCUAGUCAAAGGUAUGUGGGAGUCUCAUAGGAGUUGUUGAGACGGAGCAGCUUGCUUUGCCUGGGGGUUAGCUGGGAGGUCAGGCUAUCCGCAAAGGUCUUGCCACUGAGUGAAGAAACUGACCGAAAAGAGAAUGCGGAGGCCAGAGAGCUGGGAGCCGGGAGAGGGCUGACCCUUGAAGGCCACGGAGCCCUGGAUUCAACAGUGCCAGUGAGUCUCUUCAUACAGGCUUCUGUCACAAUCUGGAGUCCUGACAAUGAUCGUUUUCAAGACAGAAAGUUCUAGGCUCUUGACUGCUUGCAUAUGAAGGAGGAUAUUGGUACAAAAUAAAAAUCUGGGUCCACUCGUGCAGGGAAACCAUUCCAGUUUGUCCCAGAGGACUGUAGCCUGUAUCGACUUGCCCUUAGCUGGAGAGGGGAAGCCUAACCCAAGGAGAAGUUUUUCUAAAACAUAUCUGUUAUUUUUAUUGUUCAAGUAAUACAUUUCCAUUGUGGGAAAAAAAGAAAAGGAUAGAAGUUUCUUUAAAAAUGUUAAUGUAUUCAUCCUUCUGGAAUUUUUCCUGUUCAUAGAGGAAUUUUUUAAAGCAAAAUUGUGAUGAUAAAAACUGUUUUGCGGGGGCGCCUGGGUGGCUCAGU
This is an RNA transcript of Mustela erminea (ermine), 1956 nucleotides long. It is a transcript of the gene named IQ motif containing K, with no coding region annotated. The record is from RefSeq and is a predicted model, not a curated record. The transcript has 9 exons. NCBI's taxonomy places the organism in Eukaryota, Metazoa, Chordata, Mammalia, Carnivora, Mustelidae.